CCUACGGGUGGCAGCAGUGAGGAAUAUUGGUCAAUGGGCGCGAGCCUGAACCAGCCAAGUCGCGUGAGGGAGGACGGCCCUACGGGUUGUAAACCUCUUUUGCCGGGGAGCAACCGGCGCCGCGUGUGGCGUCACUGAGAGUACCCGGAGCAAAAGCAUCGGCUAACUCCGUGCCAGCAGCCGCGGUCAUACGGAGGAUGCGAUCGUUAUCCGGUUUGAUUGGGUUUAAAGGGUACGUAGGCGGAUGGUUAAGUCAGUGGGCAAAUUUAGGGGCUCAACCCCUUCCCGCCAUUGAAACUGGCGUUCUUGAGUGGAAGAGAAGUAUGCGGAAUGAGUGGUGUAGCGGUGAAAUGCAGAGAGAUCACGCAGAACCCCGAUGGCGAAGGCAGCAUGCCGGCUUCCGACUGACGCUGAAGCACGAAAGCGUGGGGAGCGAACAGGAUUAGAUACCCGGGUAGUC
This 460-nucleotide ribosomal RNA is filed under the name uncultured bacterium. RNAcentral's name for it is "partial 16S ribosomal RNA". It matches the Rfam family "Bacterial small subunit ribosomal RNA", at positions 338 to 795 of the family's 1533-position model. The record is from RNAcentral.